RNAcentral lists this ribosomal RNA (117 nucleotides) under Propithecus coquereli (Coquerel's sifaka). The record is from RNAcentral. Lineage: Eukaryota; Metazoa; Chordata; Mammalia; Primates; Indriidae.
GCCUACAGACAUACCACCCUUAAUGUGCCCGACCUCAUCUGAUCUCGGAAGCUAAGCAGCGUCAGGCCUGGUUACUACUUGGAUGGGAGUGUGUGGUUGAAAGAGACUCUCUAGAAA